This 497-nucleotide ribosomal RNA is filed under the name uncultured bacterium. RNAcentral's name for it is "partial 16S ribosomal RNA". It matches the Rfam family "Bacterial small subunit ribosomal RNA", at positions 28 to 507 of the family's 1533-position model. The record is from RNAcentral.
GAUGAACGCUGGCGGCGUGCCUAAUACAUGCAAGUCGAGCGAACAGACGAGGAGCUUGCUCCUCUGACGUUAGCGGCGGACGGGUGAGUAACACGUGGAUAACCUACCUAUAAGACUGGGAUAUCUUCGGGAAACCGGAGCUAAUACCGUAUAAUAUAUUGAACCGCAUGGUUCAAUAGUGAAAGCCGGUUUUGCUGUCACUUAUAGAUGGAUCCGCGCCGCAUUAGCUAGUUGGUAAGGUAACGGCUUACCAAGGCAACGAUGCGUAGCAGACCUGAGAGGGUGAUCGGCCACACUGGAACUGAGACACGGUCCAGACUCCUACGGGAGGCAGCAGUAGGGAAUCUUCCGCAAUGGGCGAAAGCCUGACGGAGCAACGCCGCGUGAGUGAUGAAGGUCUUCGGGUCGUAAAGCUCUGUUAUUAGGGAAGAACAAAUAUGGAAGUAACUAUGCACGUCUUGACGGUACCUAAUGAGAAAGCCACGGCUAACUACGUG